UACAGAGGGUGCGAGCGUUGUCCGGAAUCACUGGGCGUAAAGGGCGCGUAGGCGGCCUGAUAAGUAGGGGGUGAAAUCCUGUGGCUUAACUGCAGGGCUGCCUCCUAGACUGUUAGGCUCGAGCACGGUAGAGGCAGAUGGAAUUCCAGGUGUAGCGGUGAAAUGCGUAGAUAUCUGGAGGAACACCGGUGGCGAAGGCGGCAUCCUGGACCGAUACUGACGCUGAGGAGCGAAAGCCAGGGGAGCAAAGCGGG
Molecule: ribosomal RNA, 254 nt
Filed under: uncultured bacterium
Lineage: Bacteria
Description: partial 16S ribosomal RNA
Rfam family: Bacterial small subunit ribosomal RNA
Source: RNAcentral